AACGAACGCUGGCGGCAGGCCUAACACAUGCAAGUCGAGCGAACCCUUCGGGGUUAGCGGCGGACGGGUGAGUAACGCGUGGGAACGUGCCCUUUGCUACGGAAUAGCCCCCGGGAAACUGGGAGUAAUACCGUAUGUGCCCUUCGGGGGAAAGAUUUAUCGGCAAAGGAUCGGCCCGCGUUGGAUUAGGUAGUUGGUGGGGUAAUGGCCUACCAAGCCGACGAUCCAUAGCUGGUUUGAGAGGAUGAUCAGCCACACUGGGACUGAGACACGGCCCAGACUCCUACGGGAGGCAGCAGUGGGGAAUCUUAGACAAUGGGCGCAAGCCUGAUCUAGCCAUGCCGCGUGAUCGAUGAAGGCCUUAGGGUUGUAAAGAUCUUUCAGUGGGGAAGAUAAUGACUGUACCCACAGAAGAACGCCCGGACUAACUCCGUG
RNAcentral lists this ribosomal RNA (435 nucleotides) under uncultured bacterium. Its description in RNAcentral is "bacterial SSU rRNA". It matches the Rfam family "Bacterial small subunit ribosomal RNA", at positions 29 to 507 of the family's 1533-position model. The record is from RNAcentral.